RNAcentral lists this long non-coding RNA (3570 nucleotides) under Octopus sinensis (East Asian common octopus). Its description in RNAcentral is "uncharacterized LOC118767932". The record is from RNAcentral. Lineage: Eukaryota; Metazoa; Mollusca; Cephalopoda; Octopoda; Octopodidae.
UAUUAUAUCUUAUAAUAAUGAUAUAAUAUCAAAUAUCCAUAUAAUUGUUAUCUAAUUUUGCCUGGGAGUUUUUCUUUGACUGAGUUCUUUCAUUCAUAACUUCUGAUCUGCACUCAGAAUUCACGAAGUCUGUUCACUUAUUUUUUAUUUCCAAUCAACUUUCUUCGAAAUUUAAAUUUUAAAAAAUGUAAAAAUUACAUUAAAAAAACGACACAGAACAAAACAAUCAUGAGAUAAGAAUGGCUUUGUGGUUAAGAAGAUAACUUUGCAACUUAAGGGUUCCAAGUUCCAAUCCUGCUGCAGGUGCAUCUUGGAAAACCAUCUUCUACUAAAGCCUUUGGUUGACUGCCUUGUGAGUGGAAUUUGGUAGAUGGAAACUGUGCUGAAGCCCAUUUGAGAUAUAUAGGUAUGUGUGUGUGUGUGUGUAUGUGUGUGUUUAAUUUUUGUGCCAUAUACUGGCAAAGAUUGUUAACAUUGGCAAAUAAAACCAAACCGGUGUACUUCAAAGUCCACCAAGUUACAAACCCCCUCUUGUCACCUUGAUUAUGAGGGAUACUGUGAACGAAUGACCAUCCUGUUGGAACACCCGUAACCAACAGCUCUAAUGUUGACUAACUGAGAUAUAAAAUUAACAAAUAAUUUUUGAUAUAUAAAUAAAUAUAUAUAUAUAUGUAUAUUGGGCUCUCGGAUAAAUUUGUUUUCGCUCUUUGUCUGAGAAGAUGUAAAAUUUAUUCAAAUUUCAAAAAUGGUAAACAAAACACUGCAAUAAAAAAUAUCUUUCCUGUUAAUUAAAAUAACAUUGGAAAGGCAAAAGAUGAACAAAUUUAUCUAACAACCCAAUAAACAUAUACGCAUACACCCCCACAUACAUGUGUGUGUGUGUAUACAUAUAUCUAUUAAUGCCAAUUAUUAUUGUGUUGAUAAUAAUGAUGAUAGUAAUAAUAAUAAUGAUGAUGAUGAUUACAGAAAAUAGUAAUAAUGACAUGAUAAUGAUUGCAGAAAAUUAUUGUAAUUAAAAAUAAGUUAACGAGUUUGUUUUCUGAAAAAGUCAUAUUGUUACAAAGGUGAUGAUGAUGAUGAUGAUGAUGACAAUAAUUAUGACUGUGACAAUUAAUGUCAUUUUGAUGAAGUUUAGCUGUGCUUUAAACAACUGUUGACCAUUCUCAAAGUUUUCAAGGAUGUGUGGGGGGCCAUGGGUCCAAAGAAACCAAUUUUUUUUUUUUUUUUUUUGUGUCAGAUGAUAACCUCCAACUGGGAUGAACAGAUAUCAAAAACACCUUCCUUCACCUUUGCCAACCUUAACCUCCAAAUUUUUGCCUCUCUCUCUCUCUCUCUCUCUCUCACUCACACACACACACACACACAAUUCUACAUCGGUGUGCUCCUGACCCCACCAAAUUCUUCUCUCAGUUUAUUACAACUGCUGUUUCAGUAUAUCAAUCAGCUGGUUUUUAUUUGGUGUCUGGAUUGUUUUACUAAUCACGUUUUCAUUUUCUUCAGUUUUAAAAAUAUUUUAAGGCCAACAAGAUUGAUCCAGUGGAAUUGUUAUGAUUGUUUUGUCCCAGAUCAGCCCUGAUCCUCCAGUACAACUUAUGACAAAAGACAUGCCACCACAACCAUCCAUAGAUAAGAGACUACUACUGGGUAUUUGACUAAAUUUAUUCACUUUUUACUAUUUAUUUCAAACCAUUUUGAGUGGAGGUGACAAAUGACAGUACCGUGAGCACAUCCCCCCCUCUGCUGGACCAGUUCCUUAAUGGAUUGGUGGUGGAUCCUCAUGGAUGAAUUCAUUCAAUUGAUCCUCGUUGAGCUGAACCUGUUGACGGAAACAUGGAGAGUCUGUAAGGCCAAAUUUCCUUUCAUUGAAGUGUGCAAACUGUUUCUGUGCAGUUCUUUCAGUAAUUGCCCCCUUCUUUAUACACAGCACAAAUAUCUCAAACAGCUUUUGGCAGCUUGACUGGAAGUGAAGAGAAACCAGUGUCAAAAAUGCUUUUUUGUUUGUUUUUGGAGGGUUUUUUUUUCCUUCUGCUCAACACUCGACCAUCAUAUGUCUGGAAAAAAGGAAAAAAAAUUUAUUUAAAUUUCCAAAACAAUAAAGAACAGUUUUAGAGGAAAAAACACAUAAAAACACUACGAUAAAAAUAUUUUUCAUGUUUACUCAAAUAAUGUUGGAAAGGAUUAAAAUAAGCAGAAAAAAAAAUGAACAAAUUCAUCCGAAUGAAUACUCAAAACAUUGUCCAAUGUUUCUAUCAUCAUUUAAGAAGAUAAGGUAGGAUUUGAGGGAAGUUCAGCUGUUAUGAUUACUAUUGUUCAGCCCCAAGCCAUCUCUGAUCAAGCAGGUUUUGAAUCAAAAGCAUUCCAUCCAUGACCAUCCUGUCUUUCUUGUAUCCAAUGAACUUAGGACACAUUGAAUAAUGUCAUUUCUGAGUGGUGGGGGGGGAUGAUUUGAGGGAGAUUUGGUGGCUAUAUCUAGUAGCAAAAGUGGUUAUAUCGAGGCUCUGUUGUUGGCUCAUGUUUUUGGUGUGAUUUUGUCUGUAUGAUGUUCUGGUGUAUAUACUGUGUGAUGUAUGAAAGGGUGUGUAUGUUGUAUUGUAUACUUGUUGCACGGUGUGGUGUAUAGAUGUGUUGUAUGAUAUAGUGUAUACGUUAUAUGCUUAUAAUGUUGUGUAUGUUGUGUGGAUGCAGCAUGGUUGAAUGGUUAAGAAUCCUGAGUCCCAGGUUCAAUCAAUUGCUUGAUAUUUUGGCCAAGUAUCAGUUUUUACAAUAAACUUGAGUCAGCCCAGGCCUUGUGAGUUAAACUUAGUAGACAGAAGCUGUGCUGAAGGAGUGUACCCAUAAUUCAAAAAGUCUACCUUUAUCACAUGCUAUGUCCAAGUGAUUGUCUUUGAGAAUAGCAUAAAGGCUACAUGUAUCUGUGGUUAUAUAAUAUUAAUAAUAAUAAUAAUAUGACGGACUCUCCCGUCGAAGAUGACGUAAGAGCGUUCAGCUUUUGUCCAACUACCUGCACAAAUGAUUUUGUUUAUAGUGAUCAAAUGUUCAUGCCACACAUUAGUUCACUCCCUCCGUCAAAUUGACAUUGCCUGGACUGGUGCACUGUGUGCCAUGGGUCAGGUGUUGAAGUGAUCGCAGAGAAAUGUGAGAUGAAGUGUUUUGUUCAAGAGCACAACACACCGCCCAGUCUAGGAAUUGAAAUCACGAUUUCGUGAUCACAAGUGCAACACCCUAAGAAAAGUGAAUAUUACCAGAAAAAGCAACUAAAUCUCUCCUCAGAGCAUGCCCUAUCUUCUUAAGCUCUAUUUUCUUAAAGAAAGGAUUCAAUGAAGUUGAUUACAAGGAAGAAAACGUUACAUACAACAUAAUGUUUCUGUUUCAAUUUCCUACCUUUCUCUAAUAUAACUAUUAUUUUAUUGUGUGCAUUUGUUUGGGGUUCUUUUCUUUUAAUAUAUAUACAUAUAUAUAUAUAUAUCUUCCUACUAUCAAUAUGCACAGAAGCAAUCUGAUGUUGUUACUUUAACCAGAAAGUAGAAACAAUAAAUGUAUUUUCUGUUACCAAUGAAAAAAAAAAAAAAA